Molecule: ribosomal RNA, 649 nt
Filed under: Kuraishia sp. D1psMA219
Lineage: Eukaryota; Fungi; Ascomycota; Pichiomycetes; Pichiales; Pichiaceae
Description: SSU rRNA
Rfam family: Eukaryotic small subunit ribosomal RNA
Source: RNAcentral
GAAUGCAUUUGCCAAGGACGUUUUCAUUAAUCAAGAACGAAAGUUAGGGGAUCGAAGAUGAUCAGAUACCGUCGUAGUCUUAACCAUAAACUAUGCCGACUAGGGAUCGGGCGUUGUUCUUUUUAUGACUCGCUCGGCACCUUACGAGAAAUCAAAGUUUUUGGGUUCUGGGGGGAGUAUGGUCGCAAGGCUGAAACUUAAAGGAAUUGACGGAAGGGCACCACCAGGAGUGGAGCCUGCGGCUUAAUUUGACUCAACACGGGAAAUCUCACCAGGUCCAGACACAAUAAGGAUUGACAGAUUGAGAGCUCUUUCUUGAUUUUGUGGGUGGUGGUGCAUGGCCGUUCUUAGUUGGUGGAGUGAUUUGUCUGCUUAAUUGCGAUAACGAACGAGACCUUAACCUACUAAAUAGUGCUGUUAGCUUCGGCUGAACUGGCACUUCUUAGAGGGACUAUCGAUUUCAAGUCGAUGGAAGUUUGAGGCAAUAACAGGUCUGUGAUGCCCUUAGACGUUCUGGGCCGCACGCGCGCUACACUGACGGAGCCAGCAAGUACUAUCCUUGGCCGAAAGGUCCGGGUAAUCUCGAUGAAACUCCGUCGUGCUGGGGAUAGAGCAUUGAAAUUAUUGCUCUUCAACGAGGAAUUCCUAG